Long non-coding RNA from Phlebotomus papatasi, 1033 nucleotides. RefSeq lists it as uncharacterized. The transcript is spliced from 2 exons. NCBI's taxonomy places the organism in Eukaryota, Metazoa, Arthropoda, Insecta, Diptera, Psychodidae. The record is from RefSeq and is a predicted model, not a curated record.
UGGGUCUUUUGUCGCUCCAGUACCACGUGGAAUUUCAAUUGAUGCUCAAAAAUUCAUCGUACAGUUUUCACUCUCUCUUCUGCAACUACGAACAUAAAUAUUUCCGGUAAAAAUUGCACAGUGAAUUCCAUACAAUCUCAAUUAGCAACGUCAACAUUAUAUCCAGUUGCUCUGGAUGCAGCUAUCACGAACAUUGCGUGGAAGCGACAUGUACAACAAUUUUUUAUAUUUUUUUUUAAACUUACAAUUGUCGGGGAAAUUUCAUUGAGAGCCACCAGUGUAUACAAAAACGACAAUCAUUGUGGGAGGCUUUCAACUGGUAAAUCACACCUUCACGAAAUCAAGGCAUUUAAAUUCAUGAAUUAUAAAAGAUAAGAAAGGUCAAAAACAUUCACAGUUACUUUGAUAAAAAAAAUUUUUGAAUGCAGUGGCUCAGAUAAAAAUUUUAGUACAGAAAAAUUUCAUGAAACCAAAAUUUACAUCCUUUUCUUUCUCAAAACCUUGAAAUAAGUCAUUCCUUCAAACUCAAAAAUGGAUUGAACUAAAUUCAAUUUGGUAUGAUGUUCAUAUGAAGAAGAAGAGUGCAAAAGAAUGAGAUAGAUAUAUACAAAACGCUUGAGAAAGAAAGGGAGAUUAAUUUUGAUUUCAUGAAAUUUUUCUGAACAAAAAGUUGUGCCUGAACCAUCUGUAUUACUCUCCAAAUUUAGAACAAUUUAAUUUUUUGAUUAAAAACGUUACGAAUCACUUCAAAGAUUACAUUGGCAUCCCUAUGACAUCAUAAUGCAUUCUUAUCUUCACAUAAAAGACACUAUUUCUGAAAAAAUAAUUAUUUGCGUACAAUUUGCAAAGAAAGAAGCCUAAAUGAAAAUAAUAAGUAUUAGGGUGGCGGCAUUAUUGUGGCCUCUUUUUUACAAAAAAAAAUUUCACAAAAUAAUUUCGAAAAACCUCAAAAUUAAAAAUAUUUGAUAUUUUAUAAUAACAUCACAUUUUUUUUGGUUUCCGGAAUUAUUUUUUAACAAAAAUUGCGAUGAGG